RNAcentral lists this long non-coding RNA (10340 nucleotides) under Ananas comosus (pineapple). Its description in RNAcentral is "long non-coding RNA (ACOM_LNC000587)". The record is from RNAcentral. Lineage: Eukaryota; Viridiplantae; Streptophyta; Magnoliopsida; Poales; Bromeliaceae.
UGUAAUGACAACUUUAUUAAGAAAAAAAUAACAGUUUUCGUUAUUAAUAUUUUUGUAAUUUUUUUAAAAAAAAAUUAUUUGAGUUAUUGUAGUAAGUUUUAAUACAUUUAACUAAAAUUGUCCCACUUCACAAAAAUUAAAAAGUUAACAAACAAUAUACUAAAAAAAAAAAAGUUGAGGGAGCAACUUUAUAACGUCCUACAGUUGAGGGGGUUCUCCAUACAUUUUUAAUUUUCAUUUAUUGUAUAAUAAUAAUAAUAAUAAUAAUAAUAAUAAUAAUAACCAACUUUAAUAUUUGUUGGUGAGCUGGGGUGCCAAGUGCAUUACAUGCUUUUGCAGCUUUUGCUGGCUAUCUUUUAUUCUUUUUUAUUAAGAUUAAACUUUUUUUUUUAUGUAAAAAGUUCUCUGUCAUCACUCAUCACAUCUUUUAUUUAUGAAAAGUAUGUAAUUUAGUUUAUUCUCAGGAAUAUUUUCUUAAUUCAUGCUUUCUAGGUGAUUAGUGACAUAACACUCAAUUUGGAAUUGUUUAUGUCACGCCCGGGGUUACUUUUUGAUUUAAAAGCAAUGCGGAAGCAUCCAAUUUUUUUUUUUUUUAAAACCUGAUCCCCGGAGUAUGUCAGAUCCGCCAUAAAUAUAGGGAGUCCACUGUUCAGACGAACAGAGUCUCCCCUAUAUUUGCACGGCGUCGCACAAGUACAAAAGUAUAAUCAGGAUACAACCACAAUAAAUGAAAUAUACAACAUCUAACCAUUUAUACAUUCAUAUACCAUUCACGACAGAUUCACAUGUAGAGUUUGAACAUAAAUCCACAACUAUCAGUUGAAAUGUUUCCUAUCCGGAAACUGGUUUUGAAAUACUAAGUUAUAAAAAACUACGAGGAAACCUUUUCAAAACUGUUUCCUACACGAAAACCUUUUCCUUUUUAAAACACGCUACCACGAGGGGUAAAAAACUAUUUCCAGUUUACAAAACUAUAAAUCCUUUAUUACGAAAUCCCGAUUAUUUAAAUGUAAUAACAAAAUUGAACCAUAUAGAUAUCUAAGUCAUAUCAACAGAAACAACAAAGGUAGCAACUAAACCGAACAAACCGGAUCGAAAGCUCUAGCGGCCGCUAUGAACGUGUCUCACGUCUCGUCCAACCCUCACCGCCCGCAAUACCUGAAAAAUGGUGGGGGAGGUGAGAACAUAUAAACAUGUCUCCCCUCCCAGUAGAUAUCGCAAGCUGACGAAGGCGAGGAGUACUUACCGAAUCAGGAAGAGAUAAAUAAGGUCAUGAGCAGAUAUAACAAAUACAGUAGCCACGAUAAUGAACGAAUGAGAUAUAUAUAUAUAUAUAUAUAUAUAUAUAAUAUUUAUAUAUAUAUUAUAGAGAGAGAGAGAGAGAGCAGGGCUGCUGUGCUCUCAGGAGCACGGAGGCCUCCGUGCUCCUGAGCCGUUUUCGAUGAUGGAAUUUUCGAAUCGACGAUCGGCUCCGUUGAGACUUGAUCUUAGCGCAUUUGAAGUUUCUAGAAAAUAAUUUUGCGAUUUUCUUCGUUAUCAUUUACCUAGUGAUCGAAAGGUUUCAAAAUCUAUAAUUUUUUAAUGGUUGAUAUCAGCCAUUUUCAAGUUUAACGUGUAGAAGUAUUCAAAUCAAAUGAAAUUUUGAUAGAAAUUCUUUAUACUAGCUACAACAAGAUCUAUAUUUCUGAUCGAAAAUUUUAGUGCUAUUCACCAGUUUUAUAGGAUUUUUAUUUUCAGCCGUUAAAAUUAUUGAUUUUGAAUCCUUUCGAUUGCCUAGGUAAAUGAUAUCGAAAAAUCGCAAAAUUAUUUUCUAGAAACUUUAAAUACGUAGAUCAAGUUUAACGGAGCCGAAUCGUCGAUUCGAAAAAUCCAUAAUCGAAAACGUUCAGGAGCACGGAGGCCUCCGUGCUCCUGAGAGCCAAGAGGCCCUGCUAUAAUUAUAUAUAUAUAAUAUAUAUUAUAUAUAUAUAGUUGAGCUAGAAUACUAUCAGUAGUAAACGAUCCAUUUUACUACCGAUUUGUUUUCGUAAUAGAACUUCCAAUUGACGAUCGGCUCCAUUGAACAUGAUCUAUACCACUGAAGUGUUUAGAAAUCAAAUUUCAAAUCUUUUGACAUCAUUUUGCGUAAUGAUCAAAGGUUUCAAAUUUUGUAAUUUUAAUAGUCGAUAAGAGGCGUUCUCGUUUAACGGCGUAAAGAUAUCCAAAUCAAUUAAAUUUUUGUUAGAAAAUUCUUUAAACUAUUUAAAACAAAUCUAUACUCUGAUCUUGAUUACAAGACUCUAUCAUUAUUUUUAAAGAGUAUUCAUUUUCAGCCAUUCAUUUUUCUGUUCACUUGAUGGAUAAAAGAACAAUAUCGAAAGUGCGUGAAUUGAUUUUCUAGAUAGUUUAAAUGAUUUAGAUCAUAUUUUAACGGAGCGAUCGUCAAUUUGGAAGCUCUAUCAUCGAAAACAACUCCGAUAGAUAAAUACUCCGUUUACUAUCGAGAGUAUUCUAGCUCACAUAUAUAUAAUAAUAUACAUACUAUACGUAUAUAGAUAUAUACGUAUAUACGUAUAUUACGAUAUAUAUACGUAUAAUAUAUACAUAUAUAUGUAUAUAUGUAUACAGUAUAUACGUAUAUUAUGUAUAUACAUAUAUAUUGUAUGUAUAUAUGUAGUAUACAUAUAUCAUACAUUAUAUAUGUAUAUAUACAUAAUAUAUAUGUAACAUUAUAUGUAUUACUAUAUAUGUAUAUAUACAUAUAUGUAUGUAUACAUAUAUAUAAUAUAUAUAUAUAUAUAUAUAUAUAUUUAUAUAUAUAUAUUAUAUUAUAUAUAUUAUGUAUCAUUAUAUAUGUAUACAUAUAUAUACAGAAUUGAGUUCCUAUGCUUUUAAAAGUACCAUGUCAUGGUACUUGUAAGUUUUCGUCCCUUGGAUUAAGGGAUGUUGCGAUUAUGAUGAUGUGGGCUCCUAGGGUUGAGUGGGCAGUUGGUUGAAUACUAUACAUCUAACGGUUGAAAAUGAUCAAAGACGUGAGAUCUAACGGUAAAAAUUUACAAGUACCAAAUGUUUGUGCUUUACAAGCACCGUGAGCGGACUCUACAUAUACAUAUAUAUGUAUAUAUAUAACAUACAUAUAUGUAUAUAUAUAUAUAUACAUAUAUAUGUAUGUAUGUAUACAUAUAUAUGUAUGUAUAUACAUACAUAUAUAUGUAUGUAAUAUACUACAGUAUAUAUGUAUAUACAGUACAAUAUAUAGUAGUACAUUAUAAUAUGUGUACAUACAUAACAUAUAUAUGUACAUACAUAUAUAUGUACGUACAUAUAUAUGUAUGUAUACAUACAUAUAUAUGUACGUACAUAUUAUAUGUAAUACAUACAUACAUAUAUAUGUACGUACAUAUAUAUGUAUGUAUACAUAUAUAUGUAUGUAUACAUAUAUAUAUAUAUAUAUAUAUUAUAUAUGUAUGUAUAUAUAUAUAUUAUUAUAUAGUAUGUAUAUAUAUAUAUAUAUAUAUAUAUAUAUGUAUAUAUAUAUAUAUAUAUUAUAUCAUACAUAUAUAUAUAUAUAUAAUAUAUAUAUAUAUAUAUAUAUGUAUACAUAUACAUGUAUGUAUGUAUACAUACAUACAUGUAUAUGUAUGUAUACAUACAUACAUACAUGUAUAUGUCUACAUAUACAUGUAUGUAUGAUACAUACAUACAUGUAUAAUGCAUGUAUAUGUAUGUAUACAUACAUACAUGUAUAUGUAUACAUAUAUAUAUAUAGAUUCGGCUACUAUACUAUUGAUAGUACCAAGUUCUUGAUACUAUUAAGUUUUCUACCGUUUUAGAUCUACCAUUUGAUAUUUCUACCGUUAGAUUAUACUAUUAAACACAACCACCCACUCAACCUAGGGGACCACUAUCAUCCUAACUGCCAUUCUUUCAUCCAACGGCCGAAAACUCUAUAGUACCAAGGGCUUGGUUUACUAUUGAUAGUAUAGUAGCAUAAUUCUAUAUAUAUUAGGGGUGUAACGAGCCAAACACGAGCGGUUGGGGACGGCUCGUGGCUCGGCUCGUUUAAUAAAUGAGCCGAACACGAGCUAGUCCGUUAAAGUAUCGAGCGGACAAAAUUCAGCUCGUGUUCGGCUCGUUAAUAACGAGCCGAACACGAGCUGGCUCACGAGCUGGCCAACGAACAAUAAGUUUAAAAAAUUAGAUUGAAUAUGCAAUAAAAAUAAAUUUAUAAAUCUUAUCCAUUAAACUUUGAUCUAAUAGUUGAAAUUUUAUCAUAUAAAUGAAUCUUUUUAUAAUUAAGCUUGCAUUUAUAUGUUUAUUUUACUAAAAAUUAAAUAAUAAAUUAUAUAUUAUGUAUUUAUUUAUAUAUAAAAAUAUAAAUAAAUAAAUAUAUAAAUAUAAAAUAUAUGUAUUCUAGCGUUUAUCGAGCCGAACCGAGCGAGCUACCCCAGCUUGUUCGGCUCGUUUAUUAACGAGCGAAAUUCAGCUCAUGUUCAGCUCGUUACUAAACGAGCGAUUCGAUCUCGAGUUCAUUUCGAAGCCACACAUGAGCUGGCUCGCGAUCAACGAGUUGGAUUGCCACCCCUAUAUAUAAUAUAUAUAUAUAUAUAGUGAGGCUACUAUGCUAUCGAAGCACGGAGCCUUCCGUGCUUCCAGCUCGUUUUCGAUGUUGCCACUUUCGAAUCGUCGAUCGCUCGUUAACUUGAUCUAGAGUAUUUAAAGUAUCUAGAAAAUAAAUUUAUGAUUUUACGAUAUCAUUUACCUAGUGAACGAAGGGCUCAAAAUCACGGCUGAAAAUAAAAUCUUACAAAAUUGUACCGUGAGAUUAUACUAUUAACCAACACCCACUCAACCUCUAGGGGCACCACUAUAUGCCUAACUGCACAUUAUUUCAUCACGGCGAACUCAUAUAGUACCAAGGGCUUGGUAUUUAUUGAUAGUAUAGUAGAUAAUUUAUUAUAUAUUAUGGGGUGUAAGAGCCAACACGAGCGAGUGGGACGCUCGUGCAUCGGCUCGUUUAAUAAAUGAGCCGAACACGAGCUAGUCCGUUAAGUAUCGGCGGACAAUUCAAGCUCGGUGUUCGGUUCGUUAUAAACGAGCCACACGGCUGGCUCCGAGCUGGCCACGAACAAUAAGUUUAAAAGAUUAGAUUGAUUAUGCAUAAAAAAUAAUUUAUAAAAUCUUUAUCAUUAAACUUUGAUCUAAUAGUUGAAAUAAUUUCAUAUAAAUGAUCUUUUUAUAAUUAAGCUUGCAUUUAUAUGUUAUUUUCUAAAAUUAAAUGAAUAAAAUCUAUAUAUUAUGUAUAUUAUCUAUAUAUUAAAAUAUAAAUCUAAAUAAAUUAUAUAAAUUAAAUAUAUGUAUUCUAGCUGUAUCGAGCCGACACGAUCGCGAAGCUAACCCUCAGCUCGUUUGUUUCGGCUCGUUUAUUAAACGUGAGCGAUUCACCUCAUGUUCAUGCUCGUUACUAACGAGCAAUUCGAUCUCCGAUGAUUUCAUUUCGAGCAACCAUGAGCUGUGCUCGCGAUCGAAAACGAGUUGAUUGCCCAACCGCCUAGUAAUAUAUAUACUAGUAUAUAUAUAUAGUGCAGGCUACUUAUGCUAUCGGAAGCCGGGCCUUCGUGCUUCCGCUCGUUUUCGAUGUUGCGGACUUUCGAAUCUGUCGAUCUGUCGCUUAAACUUGAUUAGAGUAUUUAAAGUAUCUAGAAAACUAAAUUUAUGAUUUACGGAUAUCAUUUACCUAGGUGAACGAAGGGCUCAAAAAUCAACGGCUGAAAUAAAAAUGUGUGGUGUGUAAUUAUGCAGUUAAAAUUUUAAAUCAAAGAUAUUGAUCUUGUUUUAUAUAGUAUAAAGAAUUUUCUAUCAAAAUUUCACGUGAUUUGGAUAUUUCUACACCGUUAAACUUGCAAACGGCUCAUUACGGCCAUUGAAAUUUGUUGAUUUUGAGCCCAUUCGAUCACUAGGCAAAUGAUAUCGAAAAAUAAUAAAAUUUAUUCUCUAGGUACUCCAAAUACUCUAAAUCAAGUUUAACGGAGCCGAUCGACGAUUCGAAAGUCGCAACAUCAAAAACGAGCUGGAAGCACGGAAGGCUUCGUGCUUCCGAUAGCAUAGUAGCCUCACUCUAUAUAUAUAUAUAUAUAUAUAACCAACUAUUCUUAGUGCAAGUGGCAAAAGGCUUGGUGGUUGGUACUCGAGGUUUCAAGUUCGAAUCCUAGUUGGUUUAUUUCUAAAAGAAAUAAAUAAAGCGGAUAGCAUGCCAACUUUCUCUCAAAAAAUUUAAAUAAAUAUAAGUUAAAAUUUUAAAAUUUGAGUCUCCAAAAUCAUGUGUUUGUAUUAGUGGUCAUGUUCAUAAUGACACAAAUUUAUUUACAUUGGCGACAUUCAUUAUAAAUGUUGAUAAUACUUUUAGCAGCAUUAGCAUAGACAGUAUUUGGUAUCAAAUGUUGCUAAAAUUUUUAGCUGCAUUCGUUGAUCUUUUAGCGGUGUAAAUAAAACUAUUAAUGACUAAUUUUCUAGUAGUGAGUGGUUCCUUUUAAAUAUCAAAGAAUCUCUUGACCGCUUGCCAAUAAAUAGACCCUGGGUUGCUCUGGUAACGUCUUACCAAACCAACAGCGAAGCAAAUGUCAGGUCAAGUACACAUCAUAGUAUAUAUUAAGCUGCCAAUUGCACUCAAAUAAAGAACCCUACUCAUUUGCUCUUUUUCUUUAUCAGUUUUAAGGCAUUGAUCAAGAUUUAGAGUGUGAUUCUUCUCUACUAGAGUGUCCACUGGCUUACUAUGAUACAUUCUAAAUCGGUCUAGAAUAUUUUUAAUACAAGAUUCUUGAGACAAACCGAGAAGCCUUUUAGAGCAAUCACAGAUGAUCUUCACACUGAGCGAAUAGCUUGCCUCACUCAUGUUUUUUAUCUCAAAAUUGAGAGACAACUACUCCUUAGUGGUGUUAAUCAAUUCCAUGUCAUUUCCAGCCAAUAGUAUGCCAUCGACGUAUAGGGAGAGGAACAAAAUCUCGUUCUCUGUCUUCUUGACAUAUACGCAAUAGUUUUCCUCUAUUAUAGACAUACCGAUAGAGGUGUUGGCUUCAUGAAAUCUGAAAUACCACUAUCUCGACAACCGCUUGAGACUAUGAAUAGAUCUUUUAAGGUGACAAAUCUUAUCUUCUUGACCUUUGAGUACAAAAUCCUCAGGUUGAUCUAAUGCAGAUGUCAUCCGCUAAUCCUCUAUUGAAAAAAGCUGUCUUGACAUUCAUUUGAAAUAAUUCCAAAUCUAGAUGUGCCACUAAAGCUAGAAUCAAAUGUAUAGAGAUAAAUCACACAACGGGAGCAAAUGUCUCGUUGUAAUCUACCUCUUACCUCUGAGUAUAGCUCUUGGUCACAAGCCGAGCCUUAUAUUUAUCGAUUGACCCAUCCCUCUUCCGCUUAAUUUUUAAAAUUCAUUUAUUUCCAAUAGACUUGCGCUUAGGUGGAAGGUCAACCAACUUCCAUACUUGCUCAUUGAGUUCAUCUCAUCUCUCAUAGCAGUCAUCCACUCACUGCAAGCUGGUAUUUGUAGUGCUUCUUUAUAAGAAGCAGGCUCAUCAUCAUCGAGUGGAGUGUGCAUGAAAAUAUCCCAUUUGAUCUCAAAAUGCCAACGUGGAAGGUGUCCACUUUCACUUCUACGCAAUUGAGGGCCUGAAUUGCCGACUUCUAAGGGUAUGCUUUUACUCAUGGAAGCACUCUCACUAGCUGAAGAGUCGCUACCACUUUUUUUAGCGACUUUAGGAAGUGAUUGAUCACUCUCAACAGCAGAUGGGAUAGCGUCAAUCUGUAACUCAUACAAUCUGACAUCUCUUAGCAUUUCACCAAUCUUGAAAAUUUAUUUUCUAGAAAUUCUACAUCAUGAGACUCAAUCUCAAUCAUACCACUAUCUCAGUGUUCACCAUACAUUACAUAGCCCUUCGAAUUUUCAGGGUAUCUGAUGAACAUAUCCUUGCUUGCUCUAGCGUUGAGUUUCUCGAAUCUAUGUGAGGGGCUAUGAACAUAUCUAGCCCAACCCCAAGGGCGUAAGUAGUGUAAACUCAGCUUUCUACCACUCCACAACUCAUAUGGGGUAAAAGGCACUGAUUUGUUAGGGACUCGAUUAAGGAUGUAGGAUGCAGUCAAAAGAGCAUCUCCUGAAAAUCUUAUGAAAAGAUGCGCUUACGCCAUCAUCAACCUAAUCCUGUCUAGUAGAGUAUGGUUCUUUCGCUCUGCAAUACCUUUUGUUGCGAAGUAUCAGGAAUAGUGAGCCGUCUACUAACGUCCUUUGCAAUAAAUCUUGAAUUGAUCAAACAAGUACUCAUGACCUCGAUCAGUAUGAAGCGCCUUUACACUUCUUUCUAUUUGAUUCUCAACCUUCGCAAUAAAGAGCUUAAAGCAAUUUAAAGCUUCAGAUCAGCGAGAAAGCAAAUACAUAUAACCAUAACGAGAAUAAUUAUCAACGAAUGUGAGAAAAUAUAUGCACCAUGCGUGGCUUUCACAUUCAUUGGCCCACAAAUGUCUAGGUAGAUUAGCUUCAAAGGAUGAGAGGCACGAGUAGCCUUACCAAAACACUUUCAACAUGCCUUCCCAACAUACCUUUCCAGCCAGACAAGGCUCGUACACAGAUAGGUCAACUUUGGCUAAAGACUUCAAAAGGCUUUCUCGAGUCAGUCUAUUCAUUUUUCCUUGAUCUAUAUGCCAUUUAACAGAUUCAUCACAGAGAUUAGAAAAAGAAAAAGCAAAUGCAGAUGAAUCAUCCUCCAAAUCUAAUUUAAAGAAACUAUUAACUAAUGUACUAUAUCCAAAAUAAAGUAUCAUGAAAGAAAAUAUCAAGAGGGUCUCUGUCAAAAUAAAAGGAAUAUCCUAAAUGCAGUAAAGCUAAAACUAAAUAUAGAUUACAUCGAAUUCCGAGUGCAUAUAGCAUAUCUUGAACAAGUAAAGUGCAGCCACCAUGCAACUUAAGUUGGUAUGAACCGACUCCAAGGACUUCUUCCUUCGUGCCAUUCCCAACGGUGGCAAACUAUGUGCCCGACGGUACUCGAUGGUAAUCUACGAACUCCACUCGGUCAUGAACUACAUGUUUGUUUGCUCCUAUACCCACAAUCCAAUCAGGAAGCGAAUGAGUUACUAAAGCAUAAGAGCAAAUAAAAUAGUGUGAGCUGAGUGGUAGGGUUACCUUUUUGGGCUCAAGACAAUUCCAAGCGAAGUGACCCUUUUGCCUACAGUUAUAGCACUUCAGUUUUGCAACAUCCCUAUUGCCAAAGCGCUUGACUCUGUGGCGCUUUCCAACUCCGUCAUGAGGAGAUUGAUUUCGACUCUUAUGCGCUCCAUUGUUGUUAUGCUUUUUGCACUUGGGUGUGAUCCCACCACGUCUCUCAAAGCGUGCAACAAGAGCGACUGAACGGUUCGCUUUCAAACGCUCUGUCUCAAGCUCGAGAUGGCACGAGAUGUCAUUAAACGUUUUAAUACUCUCAUUGUGCAUCAUCAAGAGCUUUAUUUGGGACCAUUCAGGAUCCGGCAGUGAACAAAUCACCGCAAGAACCUGUUGCUCAUCAUUGAGCUCGUUUCCAGCAGCCUUAAGUUCCCGAAUCAUGGUGCUCAUCACACAGAGGUGCUCAGCCAUGGAGUGCUUCGGGUCCUUAGUGUAUUGCUGAAACUUCAAAUGUAAGGCACGUAGCCUUGUGGCUGAAAUUUGCCCAAAAGCAAUCUUCAGAUUGUCCCACAUGUCCUUAGCAGUCUCGUAGGUCUCAAAUUGUCCAAUGAGGUCGUCUUGCAUGGCACAUAAUAUAGUAUACCGGGCAGUUCGAUCCUCCUUGAACCAUUUAUUAUAGACCUCCCUUUCAUGUUGUGUAGUAGUGCCUUCCGAAGGCAUGACCAUUUUGACAUAGAGGGUUCGAAGAACUCCUUGUUCAUUUAAGAGGUAUUGCAUUUUCCUGUGCCAAAUGUUAUAAUUCUUUCCAUCUAACUUAUUAUCCCUGAUGAAGUCAACUAUGACGUUUUGGAAAGCCAUUUCACUACAAUCAAAAAACAAGUUUGGACAUUAGCCACAUUUUCAAAAAAUUAACAAGAUUGUAACACUAUCCUCAACACAACGGGAUUGAAAACUUCUAUGCUCGUAAUCAUCACCAAGUAUUAGUUCAAAAUAUUACAAUCUUAUUAAUUUUUCUAUUAAUUUCGGAACUUACGCAAAAGUUAGAAGUCAUCCAUUUUAAAAAACACAUUCUUUUUUAAAAAAAAUAUAUUUUGAGAACUUUAUCUCCAUAAUAUCAUCACACUGAUAAAAAAUAAGUAUUUGUGCCAAAAUUUAAUUUGAAAAACAUCGACGCUGUGGAAAACACAUUCUUUUACAUGGCCUUAAUUAUUUACAUCAU